RNAcentral lists this long non-coding RNA (255 nucleotides) under Ananas comosus (pineapple). RNAcentral describes it as "long non-coding RNA (ACOM_LNC036212)". Lineage: Eukaryota; Viridiplantae; Streptophyta; Magnoliopsida; Poales; Bromeliaceae. The record is from RNAcentral.
UAGGGGUCUAGAAGACAAGAAAAGAAAAUGUAUCAAACUCUGAUGUAAUAGUAAGAUUGUAAUUUGGAAGUAAAAAUGUAAACAGAAACUGUGAUGUAUAACGUGAUUGUGAAAUGAAUGCUUGUAAUAGCAAGUAGAUUAUGUAUUUGAUACUUCCUUAUGCAAUCUGGAUUGAUAUCCGUUCCUUGUUGGAACAUUCGUUGAUUGUUUGGAUUGCGACGCCUUGGACGUACUGGGGAGACUCUAUCCGCGUAC